RNAcentral lists this long non-coding RNA (890 nucleotides) under Olea europaea subsp. europaea. The record is from RNAcentral. Lineage: Eukaryota; Viridiplantae; Streptophyta; Magnoliopsida; Lamiales; Oleaceae.
GGAUACGACAAUGAAUAAACAUUUUACACGUCCUUCUUUUCUAGUCAAUCAAUUAUUUAUGCAAUAAUAGAAAGGAAAACACGGCUAUUAAAGUCAAAGAGCAAUUCAAUUCAAUUCAACAUAUACAGAUUCCAAAAUUUCCUCUAAUUAUCUGUUAAUUCGCGACUAAACUAUUACUUAUUGAUUAAUCCCGCCAUUUCAACAUGCUGUCUCCUCGUCCUCCUGCUGGUGGUGGCGAUGGCCCUCUUCUUCGGGCGUAAAACUCACAUCCAAAAAGUACAGCAAGAAAAGCGUAACAAGACAACCCAAAAAUAUUGGAAUUGGUCCAAAAAUCUACAAGAAAGGAAACGAAAAGUAAAAUGCCAUAACGCCUAAUGACCAAAAAUAACUCCCCCUACUCACCAUUCUCCCUACGUACCCUGGCGUCACACAAUAAUCAUUGUUAUGAUCAUCAAAACUUGAAGCCAUUAUCUCCUUGUAAUUAGGCACAUUGAUGAGUAUACUUGCAUGGCUAUAGUGCCUUAUUGAUUGCACAUUAAGCAAGAAUGCCACCAAGAAGCAUACCAAUAUGGAGAAGAACUUUAGGGAGAAUCCAAGCUCGUUUUUGUUGCCGUAAACCACCUUAUUGGGGGGGUUGUUGCCACCACUCAUCAUCAACACAGCAAUGAGGAAACUGAGCAUGAUCACAGUCAACGCCAAAAGAGUUUAUGCCAUUAUGUUGAUUCUUAGUAUUUGUACAGCAAGAACACCAUUCUUCGAUUUAUCCUGUUCAUCCAAAAUCAUAUAUUAUAUUUCCAUUUCGGGAAAUAAUUACUUUUGCAUACACUUAUCAUCUGAUGAAUGAAUGGAGUAAAAUAUGCUUAUCAGAGUUCUAAUAAGUGCACAAUUUU